GUGAGCCGUGUGAUGGGAAACCUUCCCGCACGGUUCGGAGAGCACUGAAGACGAAUGAGAGGUUCACCACCACAUCAUUGCAAGGGGAGCUCGCUCGAUUCGCAGAUUGGUCUGACUCGUAAUUCACUUUUGACUCCGU
Non-coding RNA from Oryza barthii, 139 nucleotides. Lineage: Eukaryota; Viridiplantae; Streptophyta; Magnoliopsida; Poales; Poaceae. The record is from Rfam.